UACGAAGGGGGCUAGCGUUGCUCGGAAUCACUGGGCGUAAAGGGUGCGUAGGCGGGUCUUUAAGUCAGGGGUGAAAUCCUGGAGCUCAACUCCAGAACUGCCUUUGAUACUGAGGAUCUUGAGUUCGGGAGAGGUGAGUGGAACUGCGAGUGUAGAGGUGAAAUUCGUAGAUAUUCGCAAGAACACCAGUGGCGAAGGCGGCUCACUGGCCCGAUACUGACGCUGAGGCACGAAAGCGUGGGAGCAAACAGG
Molecule: ribosomal RNA, 252 nt
Filed under: uncultured bacterium
Lineage: Bacteria
Description: partial 16S ribosomal RNA
Rfam family: Bacterial small subunit ribosomal RNA
Source: RNAcentral